GAUCAACGCUGGCGGCGUGCCUAAUACAUGCAAGUCGAGCGAACAGACGAGGAGCUUGCUCCUCUGACGUUAGCGGCGGACGGGUGAGUAACACGUGGUUAACCUACCUAUAAGACUGGGAUAACUUCGGGAAACCGGAGCUAAUACCGGAUAAUAUAUUGAACCGCAUGGUUCAAUAGUGAAAGACGGUUUUGCUGUCACUUAUAGAUGGAUCCGCGCCGCAUUAGCUAGCUGGUAAGGUAACGGCUUACCAAGGCAACGAUGCGUAGCCGACCUGAGAGGGUGAUCGGCCACACUGGAACUGAGACACGGUCCAGACUCCUACGGGAGGCAGCAGUAGGGAAUCUUCCGCAAUGGGCGAAAGCCUGACGGAGCAACGCCGCGUGAGUGAUGAAGGUCUUCGGAUCGUAAAACUCUGUUAUUAGGGAAGAACAAAUGUGUAAGUAACUAUGCACGUCUUGACGGUACCUAAUCAGAAAGCCACGGCUAACUACGUG
Molecule: ribosomal RNA, 497 nt
Filed under: uncultured bacterium
Lineage: Bacteria
Description: partial 16S ribosomal RNA
Rfam family: Bacterial small subunit ribosomal RNA
Source: RNAcentral